UAGAAUAAAUGCAGUACACUCCAAGCAGCAGUGUAAAAAGAGGCCCCUUCCUCAGCUGGCAGAAAUAAAUUUAGUGAUGAGAUUGAUUCAUACCAGCUGUGGAUCAGGCCCACUGUCAGAGAAGAGUGGGAUCAAAAACAGGAGCCCAUUAGCAGGAUAGUUUUGCUGAAAUCAAGUUUUUGGAGUUACAUGGGAGCUGAAGCAACACUACUGUAUUCGUGCUUUCCACCUCAGCUUUGGGACACAUGACUUCUACUUGCACCUUGAGUUAUGACAGGGAGGCAGUGUCUUGAAGAUUCUAGAAACUCACUCCAGCGCAGCUUUGAAUUUGGGAUUAUAAGCUUGUUCUGCACUGUUCUGGAGAAAUAGGGAUGAAAGAAAAUCUUACUCUACAGUUUGUGCAUGUUUUAAUUAAGAUAUGUACAAACCCAGUAAUGUUUUAGUAUAUUAAGAAGAAAACAGAUUAAGACACAUCUGAAGUUAU
Anas platyrhynchos (mallard) is the source of this 484-nucleotide long non-coding RNA. RefSeq lists it as uncharacterized. The record is from RefSeq and is a predicted model, not a curated record. Lineage: Eukaryota; Metazoa; Chordata; Aves; Anseriformes; Anatidae.